Molecule: ribosomal RNA, 735 nt
Filed under: Escherichia coli
Lineage: Bacteria; Pseudomonadati; Pseudomonadota; Gammaproteobacteria; Enterobacterales; Enterobacteriaceae
Description: partial 23S ribosomal RNA
Rfam family: Bacterial large subunit ribosomal RNA
Source: RNAcentral
CGAGUCGGCCUGCGCGGAAGAUGUAACGGGGCUAAACCAUGCACCGAAGCUGCGGCAGCGACGCUGAUGCGUUGUUGGGUAGGGGAGCGUUCUGUAAGCCUGCGAAGGUGUGCUGUGAGGCAUGCUGGAGGUAUCAGAAGUGCGAAUGCUGACAUAAGUAACGAUAAAGCGGGUGAAAAGCCCGCUCGCCGGAAGACCAAGGGUUCCUGUCCAACGUUAAUCGGGGCAGGGUGAGUCGACCCCUAAGGCGAGGCCGAAAGGCGUAGUCGAUGGGAAACAGGUUAAUAUUCCUGUACUUGGUGUUACUGCGAAGGGGGGACGGAGAAGGCUAUGUUGGCCGGGCGACGGUUGUCCCGGUUUAAGCGUGUAGGCUGGUUUUCCAGGCAAAUCCGGAAAAUCAAGGCUGAGGCGUGAUGACGAGGCACUACGGUGCUGAAGCAACAAAUGCCCUGCUUCCAGGAAAAGCCUCUAAGCAUCAGGUAACAUCAAAUCGUACCCCAAACCGACACAGGUGGUCAGGUAGAGAAUACCAAGGCGCUUGAGAGAACUCGGGUGAAGGAACUAGGCAAAAUGGUGCCGUAACUUCGGGAGAAGGCACGCUGAUAUGUAGGUGAAGUCCCUCGCGGAUGGAGCUGAAAUCAGUCGAAGAUACCAGCUGGCUGCAACUGUUUAUUAAAAACACAGCACUGUGCAAACACGAAAGUGGACGUAUACGGUGUGACGCCUGCCCGGUGC